CCUACGGGAGGCAGCAGUGAGGAAUAUUGGUCAAUGGACGAGAGUCUGAACCAGCCAAGUAGCGUGAAGGAUGACUGCCCUCUGAGUUGUAAACUUCUUUUAUAUGGGAGUAAAAUGUUCCACGUGUGGGAUUUUGUAUGUACCGUAUGAAUACGGAUCGGCUAACUCCGUGCCAGCAGCCGCGGUAAUACGGAGGAUCCGAGCGUUAUCCGGAUUUAUUGGGUUUAAAGGGAGCGUAGGUGGAUUGUUAAGUCAGUUGUGAAAGUUUGCGGCUCAACCGUAAAAUUGUAGUUGAAACUGGCAGUCUUGAGUACAGUAGAGGAGGGCGGAAUUCGUGGUGUAGCGGUGAAAUGCUUAGAUAUCACGAAGAACGCCGAUUGCGAAGGCAGUUCACUGGACUGCAACUGACACUGAGGCUCGAAAGCGUGGGUAGCAAACAGGAUUAGAUACCCGUGUAGUC
This 460-nucleotide ribosomal RNA is filed under the name uncultured bacterium. RNAcentral's name for it is "partial 16S ribosomal RNA". It matches the Rfam family "Bacterial small subunit ribosomal RNA", at positions 338 to 795 of the family's 1533-position model. The record is from RNAcentral.